This 301-nucleotide ribosomal RNA is filed under the name uncultured bacterium. RNAcentral describes it as "partial 16S ribosomal RNA". It matches the Rfam family "Bacterial small subunit ribosomal RNA", at positions 509 to 807 of the family's 1533-position model. The record is from RNAcentral.
CAGCAGCCGCGGGAAUACGUAGGUGGCAAGCGUUGUCCGGAAUUAUUGGGCGUAAAGGGCUCGCAGGCGGUUUCUUAAGUCUGAUGUGAAAGCCCCCGGCUCAACCUGGGAGGGUCAUUGGAAACUGGGAAACUUGAGUGCAGAAGAGGAGAGUGGAAUUCCACGUGUAGCGGUGAAAUGCGUAGAGAUGUGGAGGAACACCAGUGGCGAAGGCGACUCUCUGGUCUGUAACUGACGCUGAGGAGCGAAAGCGUGGGGAGCGAACAGGAUUAGAUACCCGAGUAGUCCCUGUCUCUUAUAC